This 255-nucleotide ribosomal RNA is filed under the name uncultured bacterium. Its description in RNAcentral is "partial 16S ribosomal RNA". It matches the Rfam family "Bacterial small subunit ribosomal RNA", at positions 524 to 778 of the family's 1533-position model. The record is from RNAcentral.
GACGAACCGUGCAAACGUUAUUCGGAAUCACUGGGCAUAAAGGGCGCGUAGGCGGCUUUCUAAGUCAGGGGUGAAAUCCGGCAGCUCAACUGUCGCAGUGCCUUUGAUACUGGAGAGCUCGAGGGAGGUAGGGGUCUGUGGAACUUCCGGUGGAGCGGUGAAAUGCGUUGAUAUCGGAAGGAACGCCGGUGGCGAAAGCGACGGACUGGAUCUCUUCUGACGCUGAGGCGCGAAAGCGUGGGGAGCGAACGAGGA